RNAcentral lists this long non-coding RNA (229 nucleotides) under Musa acuminata (dwarf banana). RNAcentral describes it as "long non-coding RNA (MACU_LNC007326)". Lineage: Eukaryota; Viridiplantae; Streptophyta; Magnoliopsida; Zingiberales; Musaceae. The record is from RNAcentral.
AAGUUUCGGCCAUUUCACUUCCGACCAGUGACUUCCUUGAGGAUAUUAAGAUGGAAUGGCAGGAAGAUUCAGAGACUAGUAAGAUUAUAAAAAAAUUGGAGGAAGCACCAAGCUCCGUGGCUCAUUACAAUUGAGACUCAAAAGAAUUACACUAUAAGGGACGCAUUGUGCUUAUGAUAAAUUCUACUUGUAUCUUCACGAGCAGAUUUUGGACAAAGUUAUUCCAUAU